CCUACGGGUGGCAGCAGUCGAGAAUCAUUCACAAUGGGGGAAACCCUGAUGGAGCGACGCCGCGUGGGGGAAUGAAGGUCUGCGGAUUGUAAACCCCUGUCAUGUGGGAGCAAAUUAAAAAGAUAGUACCACAAGAGGAAGAGACGGCGAACUCUGAGCCAGCAGCCGCGGUAAUACAGAGGUCUCAAGCGUUGUUCGGAAUCACUGGGCGGACAGCGUGCGUAGGCGGUUUCGCAAGUCGUGUGUGAAAGGCGCGGGCUCAACCCGCGGACGGCACAUGAUACUGCGAGACUAGAGUAAUGGUGGGGGAACCGGCAUUCUCGGUGUAGCCGUGAAAUGCGUAGAUAUC
Molecule: ribosomal RNA, 349 nt
Filed under: uncultured bacterium
Lineage: Bacteria
Description: partial 16S ribosomal RNA
Rfam family: Bacterial small subunit ribosomal RNA
Source: RNAcentral